Long non-coding RNA from Strigops habroptila (Kakapo), 2404 nucleotides. RefSeq lists it as uncharacterized. NCBI's taxonomy places the organism in Eukaryota, Metazoa, Chordata, Aves, Psittaciformes, Psittacidae. The transcript is spliced from 3 exons. The record is from RefSeq and is a predicted model, not a curated record.
AGAGAUUAUCUUCAACCAUCAUUUCCUAAUAAAUGCCAAAAAGGACUCAAAAUAAGGAAGAAUCAUGUUUAAUUAGGAUUAUUUAUAACAGUUAAUAAUUUAGUAACUUUUUUAUAAAGCAUCCAUUAUUUUAUCUUUCGUAUAUAUACAACUAUGAGACUCAGUUUGCUCUGCAUUUGAAAAUAUUUUCUCAUUUUCUGACGGUUUACAUGGUGAGUGCAAUGGAGUAGAUGGUUUUAUAUGAAUUCAUCAGACUUUCUAAUUCAGGCUGAGUUAUGGGUUUUUAGACUUUUCCAUCUACAACUUACUUUCAGUUUAGGUGAUUUCAAAGAAAUUCAGUAGACCUUCCAUGCAACUUUCUGAAGCAGUUAAUCUCUCACUUGAACCUGUUGUGGAAUAUAUUCUACAUCCUGUAGGUCUCUAAGUUGUGUUGUUACAUAAGCAAAUUUAUAUAUACCAAAGCUUAUGAAAAGCAGCAAUUGGUGAACACCAUUAGCAUAUAAACACUUUAAAUAAUUUUUUAAAGUCUCUUAAGGAUCCCAAAUUCUACCAUUUUUUUCUCCAAGAUCUUUUAUGCCAUCAGCUUUUUGUUUUGUUCCCCUGAAUUUUAUCCCCAAAGAAAAGUUCUGGGUUAGGGAAAGAGAGUUUUCAUUGAGGAGGAAGUGCACCAGUUCAGUUGAUAGCAAAACUCUUACCCAUGCUACUUAGACCCUCUGUUUUUCUACUACUACUUUAGUGCUCCAUCCAGAAAGGCCAGAGCUUAUUGCAGAAUAAAUAUGCAGUACCUAGAGGAUUGGUACAGAGUUUUUAUGUUUAUCAAAAUAUGGGGAGAAGGGCUUCUAUUUUCUUUCUAAUUCCUUGGAUUGGAAUAUAGACAGAUCCAAACCAUCUGUUGGAAAAAAACUUGCAAUUUAAUAAUAAACCUGAGCCAAACUUAUUAGUUGGCAUCACAGAUUAAGAAUAAAAAUUCAGUGCUUUAAAGGCAAUUGUUUCUCAAAAAACAAAAAACAACAAAAAACCAAACCAAACCAACAACUGAAACAAAACCAAACCCAACACACCAACAACAAAAAACCAAAACAAAACACACCACUGGAUAUUGUGACAUAAGUAAUGUGUGAUCAAAAUCACAACCCAAACAAAAAUUAUGCUGCAUACAGAGAGGAAGCAACACUUUGCUUAGGAAGAUAAGAGUGAGGAAAAUGACUUCAAAGUUUGGGAAUGAAGGUGUAAGUUAAGAAACUACAAAGAGGGUUCUUAUGGAUGUCAUGAUGUAACACUGCGGGAGGCAGAGAGCAGCCUGCAGAUCAAGUCAUGAGUUUGUGUGUUUUACAAAAGUGUGUCCUGUGUUAGUAUAAGUUGUAAAAUAAUACUGUACCUGCUUGAUGGCUUUAGCUUUUUUUAACUCCUGAUCUGAUCUGUCAUUGAAAAGAUUUAGGUCAUUUAUCUUGCUCAUCAUACUGCUUGUUUCUUCUCCUGUCUUAUCCAUUGCUCUCUUGAGGAAAUGGACAUCAUUCUGUUUCCAAGUGAAGAAACCUGAUCAAGGGUAUAUAUAGCAGGUCUCUCUCUGUACCAGAAUGAGAAACUGGAAGGUCAGAAGUUGUCAGCUGAACCGAAAGUCAACCUCUGGCAAGAUAUACAUAUAUGAAGGAUAUUUAUUCCACUUAAUGAACUGAUCUGAGGCAUCAUAGAAGAAAAUUUCUCCCUCACAAACUAAGGCUCAGUUCUUAGAUCCUUUAUCCUGCAUAUGAAUUUACAAAUGGCCCCACAUGACUCUGAAGAGACUUCCUGACACAAAUUUGGGAGAAUCUGGAUCCAGCCGAAUACAAGGAUACCUUCAUCCUGCUACCCAUUCGCCAUUGGCGAUUAUAAACAGACAUAAUGAGAAGACAGCAAAUAAAAAAAUAAACACAAAUUAUUCAUGGAGAGAAAAAGGGAUGGUUCCAUUAAACAGAAAACCAGCUGUAAUUCAAUAGCAUUACUUUUGUGUUUGCCUAAAGCAAAUUUUUUAUGCUGAAAUCAUGCCCCAAGUUUAUCUCAUGCAGAGAAGAUUUGCCAUCAAAAAUGUCUUUUCUAUACCGUAAAGAAAAUACCUGUGAGACUUAAUGAUAUAGGUGUGUGGCUGUGUAUCUGGCAUUAAGAACAUUAAAAACAGAAGUCUUUCAAUACCUAGCUCAUAUUUGCUAAGUCUUGACCAGUCUAUGCACGGAGAUACUCAGUGUCACUCUACUUGCCUACACAGGGAAAAGCACACCUAGAUCAUCCAUUAUUAUUUAUAACUUUUAAUUAUAAUUAGCAAUUCUUAACUUAUAUUAUUUCUGUAAGUGCAAGCGAGGACAAAUUAUAAAAUCUAAUUUCAAUACUGGUGUUCUCUUGCAAAAGUUUUAAACCUUACUUCAUGACU